Molecule: ribosomal RNA, 484 nt
Filed under: uncultured bacterium
Lineage: Bacteria
Description: partial 16S ribosomal RNA
Rfam family: Bacterial small subunit ribosomal RNA
Source: RNAcentral
AUUGAACGCUGGCGGCAUGCCUUACACAUGCAAGUCGAACGGCAGCGCGGACUUCGGUCUGGCGGCGAGUGGCGAACGGGUGAGUAAUACAUCGGAACGUACCCUGUUGUGGGGGAUAACUAGUCGAAAGAUUAGCUAAUACCGCAUACGACCUGAGGGUGAAAGUGGGGGACCGCAAGGCCUCACGCAGCAGGAGCGGCCGAUGUCUGAUUAGCUAGUUGGUGGGGUAAAGGCCCACCAAGGCGACGAUCAGUAGCUGGUCUGAGAGGACGAUCAGCCACACUGGGACUGAGACACGGCCCAGACUCCUACGGGAGGCGGCAGUGGGGAAUUUUGGACAAUGGGGGCAACCCUGAUCCAGCAAUGCCGCGUGUGUGAAGAAGGCCUUCGGGUUGUAAAGCACUUUUGUCCGGAAAGAAAUCGCGCUGGUUAAUACCUGGCGUGGAUGACGGUACCGGAAGAAUAAGCACCGGCUAACUACGUG